UAAUUACAGAUAACUAGCAGGAGCAAUGUUGUGCUGCCCUUGCUUGCCCAUUGGGAAGACUAAGAAAGUCCACCCAGUGCCAGUGCAAGAGGCUGCAAUCCCCAGACCUCAGAGGGUCAGCCGCUCCUUCUUCAAGAGGCUGAGGAGAUUAUUUAAGAAGAAGGAGAAGAAGACUAAAGAGUCUGUCCCCCCUCGGACGGACACCCUUGUGGUAGAGGGACCGGUUAAAGAUGAGCCUGAGGUCCCUGCCACCACCACCACCAUCUCUCAUGCCCCUCACCACCCCACAGAGAAGGAAGGGGAGGAGGAGAGGAAGGAGAGCCCUGUUUGGGCGGAGAAGGUGAGAGGCCCAAGGCAUGAGACGCCCCAAAGCCUCAAAGAGGAGGACGUCACGAUGGAGGACCUGGAGGGAGGGGAGUACAUCAGCUCCUCCCAUGCCCCGGUCAUGGAGGCCUCAUCUGGGGCCACCAGCUCCUCCCUUGCCCCAGAGAAGGUGAUGUCAUCCAGCGUCACCAGCUCUUCUCAUGCCCCAAAGAAGGUGACGUCAUCCAGCGUCACCAGCUCUUCUCAUGCCCCAAAGAAGGUGAUCUCACCUGGGGCCACCUGCUCCUCCCUUGCCCCAAAGAAGGUGACGUCAUCCAGGGUCACCAGCUCUUCUCAUGCCCCAAUGAAGGAGAUCUCAUCUGGGGCCACCUGCUCCUCCCUUGCCCCAGAGAAGGCGACGUCAUCCAGGCUCACCAGCUCCUCCUUUGCCCCAGUGAAGGUGACGUCAUCCAGCGUCACCAGCUCUUCUCAUGCCCCGAUGAAGGAGAUCUCAUCUGGGGACCGACCUGCCGUCCAGGUGACGGACCAGUCGGGAGGGAGGGCAUCUCGGGGCCGGAGCAGAAGCCGCAGCUCGGCCCCAACUGCCCAGAAGUCCCGCGUGGCGUUGCUGCACCAGCUGAAGUGCAGAGGGCUGCCCAACCUGGGCCAGACGUGCUACGUCAACGCCACGCUGCAGUGCCUCAUCCACCUGCAGGCCCUGCGCACCCAGCUGCUGCGGCAGGAGGCCGUGUGGAGCGCCAGGCCCGAGGCCCUGCUGGUCAGUACCUUCGUGGAACUCAUACGUCUACGAGGGUCUUCUGACAUGGACAUGAAGGCAGCAGUGGUCUUUGAGUUCAAGGAGACCAUCGCCCUGCGCAACCAGGAGUUUGAGGGGAACUCUCAGAACGACGCCCAUGAGUUCCUCUCGGAGUGUCUGCAGAUGCUAAGUGCCAUCGGCCAGAAGCUGGCCAUGGGGGACGUGGCCUACCAGUGCCCAGUGGACACUCUGCUCUCCUUCCAGCUCCGCUACACCAGAACCUGCCAGAGCUGUGGAGUUGAGAGCUCAAGGGAGGAGCUGAACACCAUGCUCUCCCUGGACCUGGCUCAGCAGGGAUCAGUGAGGAAGAGCCUCCAGCUCUAUUUCGCCGAGACAUCAGUGGAGUACCGGUGUGACUGCUGCGGGGGAAGGGGCUCCAGCCUGAGGUGCCACUUCCACACUCUGCCUCAGGUGUUGAUCCUCCAUCUGAAGAGGUUCUGCCCCCUGACCCUCUCAAAGCAGCAUCAGGCAGUCAUGCUGGACCCCUACCUGCACCUGACGGCACUGGGCGAAAGGACUGAAGAGGCCAUCAGGACUCCUCCAGCUAGAGCGUCCAGUGUAGGUGCAGAGACAGGGACAGAGACCACGGAGACAAGCAGCCAGUAUAAACUGAUAAGUAUACUGAGCCACAUUGGGUCUGAUGCCACCAGCGGUCACUACAUCGCCGACUGCCGAGAAAGACCAGGGCAGUGGGUGCUGUACAAUGACCACAAUGUCUUCCUAAAACCGGAGGAUGUCGUCCUCAAAGACCGGGAGAGGGCGGCAUACAUCCUCUUUUACAUCAAAGAGGUGUCAGCAUCACCAUCAGGCUGGCAUGGCAACCAAUGGGUGACCCCUUCAAAAAGGUCAAAUACAAAUACACCAACGUCGGUCAUACCGGUGGGUGUUGUGUAAUGACCAUGAGGUCACCCGACCAAUACCAUCAGAGGAGGCUGUUCUCAAAGACGGGAGAGAGCGGCCCAGAACCUGUUUACACUACAAAGUGAGGCAGGCCACUAUUGUCUGCCCCCCCCUCCAAUCAUCAUCGGGGGUAAAAGGUGUCAGCAUCACCAUCAGGCUGGCAUGGCAACCAAUGGGUGACCCCUUCAAAAAGGUCAAAUACAAAUACACCAACGUCGGUCAUACCGGUGGGUGUUGUGUAAUGACCAUGAGGUCACCCGACCAAUACCAUCAGAGGAGGCUGUUCUCAAAGACCGGGAGAGAGCGGCCCAGACCCUGUUUACACUACAAAGUGAGGCAGACCACUAUUUUCUGCCCCCCCCUCCAAUCAUCAUCGGGGGUAAAAGGUGUCAGCAUCACCAUCAGGCUGGCAUGGCAACCAAUGGGUGACCCCUUCAAAAAGGUCAAAUACAAAUACACCAACGUCGGUCAUACCGGUGGGUGUUGUGUAAUGACCAUGAGGUCACCCGACCAAUACCAUCAGAGGAGGCUGAUCUCAAAGACUGGGAGAGAGCGGCCCAGACCCUGUUUACACUACAAAGUGAGGCAGACCACUAUUUUCUGCCCCCCCCCCCCAUCAUCAUCGGGGGUAAAAGGUGUCAGCAUCCCCAUCAGGCUGGCAUGGCAACCAAUGGGCAACCCCUCCAUAAAGUGAGGCAGGUCACCCACCUUCCCACCCCAUCUGCCCUCCUGCAUGUUAUGACCGUGAUGUCUCCUUAACAUCGGAGAAGGUCGUUCUCAAAGAACGGGAGAGGACGGCCGAAAUCCUGUUUUACGUCAAAAAGGCCUCUACAUCGCCGACCAUCAAGAGCGACCAGGCGUAUAACGAACAUGAGGUCACCCUAACAUUCUGUUUCACAUUAGAAAAGUGUGGAAGAUCGCCUCCUAACCACCAUCUGCUGUCUGCUGUCCCCAAUCUCAAUUUGGGGUAAAAGAAGUUCACAUCACUCCAGCCGACUGGCAACCAGUGGGUGACCCAUCCACGAGGUCCAAUAAAAUCAUACUACACCAACAUGAGAAAUCAUUCACUGUAUAUUUUGCAUAUCAUCAAGCAACAACU
This is an RNA transcript of Sardina pilchardus (European sardine), 3119 nucleotides long. It is a transcript of the gene named ubiquitin carboxyl-terminal hydrolase 37-like, with no coding region annotated. NCBI's taxonomy places the organism in Eukaryota, Metazoa, Chordata, Actinopteri, Clupeiformes, Clupeidae. The record is from RefSeq and is a predicted model, not a curated record. The transcript is spliced from 23 exons.